Molecule: ribosomal RNA, 501 nt
Filed under: Triticum aestivum (bread wheat)
Lineage: Eukaryota; Viridiplantae; Streptophyta; Magnoliopsida; Poales; Poaceae
Description: partial small subunit ribosomal RNA
Source: RNAcentral
AUGCUUACUGCAUGUUCCGGGAAUGUAUCUGGUGAUGGAUUGCAUAACCAGCCAGAUACGACUGUUACUCAAAAUGAGGCUGUUGUUGAUGCUUCUGUGAAGAGGUGCGGUUCUUCUCUUGUCCGUAACUUGGAUAAGAAAUAUUCCAGGCGUCGCAAGGAAUUACGUCUACCUUCUCCACCCAUGGCCACUAGUACAACUGUCUUUGACCAGCCGUCGUUGGAUGAUACACAUCAUUGUACCAAGGCAAUGGUCAUCAAUGAGCUUGGCAUUGUAGGCCCUGAUAAGGGCAUUAACUCAGUAAUUGCCGAUCCCACGCGGAAGAAGCAGCAUCCUCGGAACGGUUCGGAUGCUCCAUCUAUUAGUGUUGCCGGCCUUCCGCAAAUGCGGUCUACCAGCGUGGGCGUCACAUCUGAGGUGGUACCUAGUAAUCUUACAUGUUCUUCGGCAGAUGUGGACUCGUCUGACACGUCAUGCAGCAAGAAGAUCAUGUUGCUGUGA